Long non-coding RNA from Dreissena polymorpha, 461 nucleotides. RefSeq lists it as uncharacterized. The transcript has 3 exons. Lineage: Eukaryota; Metazoa; Mollusca; Bivalvia; Myida; Dreissenidae. The record is from RefSeq and is a predicted model, not a curated record.
ACCAAGUAGUUUAACAACUUUUUCACAAGUUAUAGUGGCGAUAUAGAAACGUAUAGGUUUUAUUAAUUAACUACAUGUUUGCACGGUUAGAUGUUGUUUUAAGUUACACCCAAAAUAACAUUUGAUUUAAAAGAAGUCAGACAGAGGUAAAGGCAUAUAGAAUACACUUAAAGAGUGAAGUUUAUAAAUAAUUGUGAAAGGGAAAGUAGAGCAGCAGAAAUGGAUAAACUUCAGAGGUAUUCAGUGGAUGUUCAUGACUUCCUUGAUACACACAGGGUGACUGUGGUGGCUACUUUAACAACAGGAAAUCCGCGAAACAGCGCACGUGAGGCCCAGUCAUUUGAGCAAGUAAGAAAAAAAAAGAUAUAGUGUUCCACUUCAUUGUUCCCUAGCUGUAGAGUUGUUAGGGAAAACCUGUAUUGUUAUGUUAAAAAGAUAAUUAAAUAAAGGAGUAGAAUUUA